AGUGACUAAAUUGACUGCUAUAAAAGCAUGAACUUAGUUAAACGGCCGCGGAAUCCUAACUGUGACAAUGUAGCGCAAUCAAUUGCCACUUAAUUGGUGGAUAGUAUGAACGGUUCAACGAAUAUUUCACUGUCUCUAAUAAAGAUCUAAAAAAAUUAAUAUAGUAGUGAAGAAGCUACUUAAAAAGGUAAGACGAAAAGACCCUAUAGAGCUUAACUAUAAUUUCUAUCACUUUAUAGAGAUUGGUAGUUUAGUUGGGGCGACUACUUUCUAAAAUAAACGAAAGUAAGCAAUGUAUAAACUAUUCUUACUGUUUAACACACUAGUUUAACAGUUACUAAAGUAGGCUUAAUUGACCUGAUAGUUCUUCAAAUAAAGACUAACGAUCACUGAAUAAAAGCUACCUUAGGGAUAACAGGGAAAUUCUGUAAUAGAGAUCCGAUCGACCACAGAGCUUACCACCUCUAUGUUGAAUUAGGAUGUCCAAGUUGUGCAGCAGCAACUAAGGGUAGGUCUGUUCGACCUUUAAAAUCCUACAUGAUUUGAG
Molecule: ribosomal RNA, 547 nt
Filed under: Turritopsoides sp. MA207
Lineage: Eukaryota; Metazoa; Cnidaria; Hydrozoa; Anthoathecata; Oceaniidae
Description: partial 16S ribosomal RNA
Rfam family: Bacterial large subunit ribosomal RNA
Source: RNAcentral